This 506-nucleotide ribosomal RNA is filed under the name uncultured bacterium. Its description in RNAcentral is "partial 16S ribosomal RNA". It matches the Rfam family "Bacterial small subunit ribosomal RNA", at positions 30 to 523 of the family's 1533-position model. The record is from RNAcentral.
AUUGAACGCUGGCGGCAGGCCUAACACAUGCAAGUCGAACGGUAGCACAGAGGAGCCUGCUCCUUGGGUGACGAGUGGCGGACGGGUGAGUAAUGUCUGGGAAACUGCCCGAUGGAGGGGGAUAACUACUGGAAACGGUAGCUAAUACCGCAUAACGUCUUCGGACCAAAGUGGGGGACCUUCGGGCCUCACACCAUCGGAUGUGCCCAGAUGGGAUUAGCUAGUAGGUGGGGUAAUGGCUCACCUAGGCGACGAUCCCUAGCUGGUCUGAGAGGAUGACCAGCCACACUGGAACUGAGACACGGUCCAGACUCCUACGGGAGGCAGCAGUGGGGAAUAUUGCACAAUGGGCGCAAGCCUGAUGCAGCCAUGCCGCGUGUAUGAAGAAGGCCUUCGGGUUGUAAAGUACUUUCAGCGGGGAGGAAGGCGUUAAGGUUAAUAACCUUAGCGAUUGACGUUACCCGCAGAAGAAGCACCGGCUAACUCCGUGCCAGCAGCCGCAGUAA